RNAcentral lists this transfer RNA (77 nucleotides) under Candidatus Omnitrophota bacterium. RNAcentral describes it as "tRNA-Met". It matches the Rfam family "tRNA". From Rfam's summary of the family: Transfer RNA (tRNA) molecules are approximately 80 nucleotides in length. Their secondary structure includes four short double-helical elements and three loops (D, anti-codon, and T loops). Lineage: Bacteria; Pseudomonadati; Candidatus Omnitrophota. The record is from RNAcentral.
GCCGGCGUAGCUCAGUCUGGCAGAGCAAGCGGCUCAUACCCGCUGCGUCACUGGUUCAAAUCCAGUCGCCGGUACCA